Molecule: ribosomal RNA, 1066 nt
Filed under: uncultured crenarchaeote
Lineage: Archaea; Thermoproteati; Thermoproteota
Description: bacterial SSU rRNA
Rfam family: Archaeal small subunit ribosomal RNA
Source: RNAcentral
UUCCGGUUGAUCCUGCCGGACCCGAUCGCUAUCGGGGUGGGGCUAAGCCAUGGGAGUCGCACGCUCCGGUUACCGGGGCGUGGCGAACGGCUGAGUAACACGUGGCUAACCUACCCUCGGGACGGGGAUAGUCCCGGGAAACUGGGAGCAAUCCCCGAUAGGUGGAGAUUCCUGGAAGGGUUCUCCACCGAAGGGGUGUUGCGGGGAUGUCCGCAACGCCGCCCGAGGAUGGGCCACGGCCCAUCAGGUUGUUGGCGGGGUAAGGGCCCGCCAAGCCUAUAACGGGUAGGGGCCGUGAGAGCGGGAGCCCCCAGAUGGGCCCUGAGACAAGGGCCCAGGCCCUACGGGGUGCACCAGGCGCGAAAACUCCGCAAUGCGGGAAACCGUGACGGGGCCACCCCGAGUGCCCCGAAGAGGGGCUUUUCCCCGCUGUAAGGAGGCGGGGGAAUAAGCGGGGGGCAAGUCUGGUGUCAGCCGCCGCGGUAAUACCAGCCCCGCGAGUGAUCGGGACGUUUACUGGGCCUAAAGCGCCCGUAGCCGGCCCGGUAAGUCCUCCCUUAAAGCCCCGGGCAUAACCCGGGGACGGGGAGGAUACUGCCGGGCUAGGGGGCGGGAGAGGCCGAGGGUACUCCCGGGGUAGGGGCGAAAUCCGUUAAUCCCGGGAGGACCACCAGUGGCGAAGGCGCUCGGCUGGAACGCGCCCGACGGUGAGGGGCGAAAGCCGGGGGAGCGAGCCGGAUUAGAUACCCGGGUAGUCCCGGCUGUAAACGAUGCGGACUAGGUGUUGGGCAGGUCUUAGAGCCUGCCCAGUGCCGCAGGGAAGCCGUUAAGUCCGCCGCCUGGGGAGUACGGCCGCAAGGCUGAAACUUAAAGGAAUUGGCGGGGGAGCACCACAAGGGGUGGAGCCUGCGGCUCAAUUGGAGUCAACGCCAGGAAUCUCACCGGGGGCGACAGCAGGAUGAUGGCCAGGCUAACGACCUUGCCUGACGCGCUGAGAGGAGGUGCAUGGCCGUCGCCAGCUCGUGUCGUGAGAUGUCCGGUUAAGUCCGGCAACGAGCGAGACCCA